AUACGUAGGGUGCGAGCGUUGUCCGGAAUUACUGGGCGUAAAGAGCUCGUAGGUGGUUUGUCGCGUCGUCUGUGAAAUUCCGGGGCUUAACUCCGGGCGUGCAGGCGAUACGGGCAUAACUUGAGUACUGUAGGGGAGACUGGAAUUCCUGGUGUAGCGGUGAAAUGCGCAGAUAUCAGGAGGAACACCGGUGGCGAAGGCGGGUCUCUGGGCAGUAACUGACGCUGAGGAGCGAAAGCAUGGGUGGCGAACAGGAUUAGAUACCCUGGUAGUCCAUGCCGUAAACGGUGGGCGCUAGGUGUAGGGGUCUUCCACGACUUCUGUGCCGUAGCUAACGCAUUAAGCGCCCCGCCUGGGGAGUACGGCCGCAAGGCUAAAACUCAAAUGAAUUGACGGGG
Molecule: ribosomal RNA, 398 nt
Filed under: uncultured bacterium
Lineage: Bacteria
Description: partial 16S ribosomal RNA
Rfam family: Bacterial small subunit ribosomal RNA
Source: RNAcentral